AGCAGCCGCGGUAAUUCCAGUUCCAAUAGCGUAUAUUAAAGUUGUUGCAGUUAAAAGCUCGUAGUUGAAUUUCGGGAUCAAUUAAUUGGUCGUGCCUCUGGUACGUACUGAUUUUAUUGGUUUCUCCCUUCUGACGAACCAUGAUGUCAUUAAUUUGGUGUCGUGGAGAAUCAGGACUGUUACUUUGAAAAAUUAGAGUGUUUAAAGCAAGCUAACGCUUGAAUACAUUAGCAUGGAAUAAUGAAAUAGGACGUUUGAUCCUAUUUUGUUGGUUUCUAGGAUCGACGUAAUGAUUAAUAGGGAUAGUUGGGGGCAUUAGUAUUCAAUUGUCAGAGGUGAAAUUCUUGGAUUUAUUGAAGACUAACUACUGCGAAAGCAUUUGCCAAGGAUGUUUUCAUUAAUCAAGAACGAAAGUUAGGGAUCGAAGACGAUCAGAUACCGUCGUAGUCUUAACCAUAAACUAUGCCGACUAGGGAUCGGAUGAUGUUAAUUUUUAAUGACUCAUUCGGCGCCUUACGGG
Molecule: unclassified non-coding RNA, 520 nt
Filed under: uncultured Glomus
Lineage: Eukaryota; Fungi; Glomeromycota; Glomeromycetes; Glomerales; Glomeraceae
Description: SSU rRNA
Rfam family: Eukaryotic small subunit ribosomal RNA
Source: RNAcentral